RNAcentral lists this ribosomal RNA (644 nucleotides) under uncultured bacterium. Its description in RNAcentral is "bacterial SSU rRNA". It matches the Rfam family "Bacterial small subunit ribosomal RNA", at positions 62 to 698 of the family's 1533-position model. The record is from RNAcentral.
UCGAGGGGCAGCGGGGUAGUGCUUGCACUACUGCCGGCGACCGGCGCACGGGUGAGUAACACGUAUGGAACCUGCCCGCAGCAGGGGGAUAAGCGGAAGAAAUUCCGUCUAAUACCGCGUAACAACGUUGGGAGGCAUCUCCCGAUGUUUAAAGAUUUAUCGGCUGCGGAUGGCCAUGCGGCGCAUUAGCUAGUCGGCGGGGUAACGGCCCACCGAGGCGACGAUGCGUAGGGGUUCUGAGAGGAAGGUCCCCCACACUGGUACUGAGACACGGACCAGACUCCUACGGGAGGCAGCAGUGAGGAAUAUUGGUCAAUGGCCGAGAGGCUGAACCAGCCAAGUCGCGUGAGGGAAGACGGCCCUACGGGUUGUAAACCUCUUUUGUCGGGGAGCAAAGCGAACCACGUGUGGUUCAUUGAGAGUACCCGAAGAAAAAGCAUCGGCUAACUCCGUGCCAGCAGCCGCGGUAAUACGGAGGAUGCGAGCGUUAUCCGGAUUUAUUGGGUUUAAAGGGUGCGCAGGCGGAGGUGCAAGUCAGCGGUCAAAUUGCGGGGCUCAACCCCGUACUGCCGUUGAAACUGCAUCCCUUGAGUGCGCGAGAAGUAUGCGGAAUGCGUGGUGUAGCGGUGAAAUGCAUAGAUAUC